CAGUAGCCGCGGUAAUACGGAGGGUGCAAGCGUUAAUCGGAAUUACUGGGCGUAAAGCGCACGCAGGCGGUUUGUUAAGUCAGAUGUGAAAUCCCCGAGCUUAACUUGGGAACUGCAUUUGAAACUGGCAAGCUAGAGUCUUGUAGAGGGGGGUAGAAUUCCAGGUGUAGCGGUGAAAUGCGUAGAGAUCUGGAGGAAUACCGGUGGCGAAGGCGGCCCCCUGGACAAAGACUGACGCUCAGGUGCGAGAGCGUGGGGAGCAAACCGGAUUAGAUACCCCUGUAGUCCCUGUCUCUUAUAC
RNAcentral lists this ribosomal RNA (301 nucleotides) under uncultured bacterium. RNAcentral's name for it is "partial 16S ribosomal RNA". It matches the Rfam family "Bacterial small subunit ribosomal RNA", at positions 509 to 807 of the family's 1533-position model. The record is from RNAcentral.